UGAUCACAGACCCUGAAUAGCAGCAGAAAACAGACUCAUCAGGAAAGGAAGAAAAUGGAAUGCAAAAUGGAAUUUUCACAGGUUCCAGGUUCAGGUUGUACUUCAGUAGUCAAGUGCAAAAGAUUCAAGGUUGACAUUCCAUGACAGUAUUGAAGGAGUACAGCACUGUUAAAGAUGCUGCUUUUGGAUGAAAUGUUAAUCUAAAAUCUGCCUGCAUGAAUGGAUGUACAAGAUCCUAAGGCACUAUUUUGGAAAAGAGGAGAAAGACUAUCCUUGGUGUUCUGAACAGUAUUUUGAAGAGUCUGAAGGUUGUCAAAAUAUCCAUAAAUAAAGUGGCAACAAAAGAGCCAUUCCA
Rhincodon typus (whale shark) is the source of this 355-nucleotide long non-coding RNA. RefSeq lists it as uncharacterized. NCBI's taxonomy places the organism in Eukaryota, Metazoa, Chordata, Chondrichthyes, Orectolobiformes, Rhincodontidae. The transcript has 2 exons. The record is from RefSeq and is a predicted model, not a curated record.